RNAcentral lists this ribosomal RNA (762 nucleotides) under Bacillus sp. RZ-256. Its description in RNAcentral is "bacterial SSU rRNA". It matches the Rfam family "Bacterial small subunit ribosomal RNA", at positions 75 to 819 of the family's 1533-position model. The record is from RNAcentral. Lineage: Bacteria; Bacillati; Bacillota; Bacilli; Caryophanales; Bacillaceae.
GGAGCUUGCUCCUUGAUGUUAGCGGCGGACGGGUGAGUAACACGUGGGUAACCUGCCUGUAAGACUGGGAUAACUCCGGGAAACCGGGGCUAAUACCGGAUGGUUGUUUGAACCGCAUGGUUCAAACAUAAAAGGUGGCCUUCGGCUACCACUUACAGAUGGACCCGCGGCGCAUUAGCUAGUUGGUGAGGUAACUGGCUCACCAAGGCAACGAUGCGUAGCCGACCUGAGAGGGUGAUCGGCCACACUGGGACUGAGACACGGCCCAGACUCCUACGGGAGGCAGCAGUAGGGAAUCUUCCGCAAUGGACGAAAGUCUGACGGAGCAACGCCGCGUGAGUGAUGAAGGUUUUCGGAUCGUAAAGCUCUGUUGUUAGGGAAGAACAAGUACCGUUCGAAUAGGGCGGUACCUUGACGGUACCUAACCAGAAAGCCACGGCUAACUACGUGCCAGCAGCCGCGGUAAUACGUAGGUGGCAAGCGUUGUCCGGAAUUAUUGGGCGUAAAGGGCUCGCAGGCGGUUUCUUAAGUCUGAUGUGAAAGCCCCCGGCUCAACCGGGGAGGGUCAUUGGAAACUGGGGAACUUGAGUGCAGAAGAGGAGAGUGGAAUUCCACGUGUAGCGGUGAAAUGCGUAAAGAUGUGGAGGAACACCAGUGGCGAAGGCGACUCUCUGGUCUGUAACUGACGCUGAGGAGCGAAAGCGUGGGGAGCGAACAGGAUUAGAUACCCUGGUAGUCCACGCCGUAAACGAUGAGUGCUAG